UUAAGUCUUCAACGGAUCUUCAGAUCCGUCCACGAACAUCGAGAUCCGGUAAAGGCUCAACGGAUGUCUCAUCUUCGUUGCAGCCUUUGACGUUUCUCUUAUUCUUCAUUUAACACAAAAUAGAGACAUAUAUAAUCACUAACCUAGAUCGAAGACAAUAACAAAGAAAGCACCAAACUCCAUAGCACCACGAACCCACCACGAAUCAAAUAACACAUGAUAAAUUGGAAGAAAAGGAAGAUGAGAAAUUGGAAAAAGAGAAGAAGAGAAUAAGAGUGAAAGAGAGAAAGUGAGAGUGUCGGGGUAAGGGUGGGGUGUGGUGUGCCACCGAGUGAAUAAGAAAGUAAAAAAAAAUUAAGAUUUUAAGAAAAGGUUAAAAAAGGUAAAGGAAAAAUAAAUAUGGAUAUUUUUGAAAUUAAAAAAAUUGGAGAGGUGUAAGGAAUGUGUGGUGGUAGAGGGAGUGAUGCUCUUCAAGGUAAGAACAACUCACAGCCCAAAUUCAAUGGGCCUAGAUUCCAUUCCCUUAGAGUUCUCUUUUCUGCACCCUCAAUAUAACUACUACACUUCCAUAAAAGAGUAAAAAUACUAAAAAUACUCUUCUCACUCUAUUCACCAUUACUGGACGUGCUACCGUUAAAAAGAAAAGAGAGAACUUAUUCUGAACAGAUAUUUGUUUUAGAAAACUUGUUUUAAAAUAUAAUAUCUGUUUUUGUUUAUUAUGAAAAACUUGUUUUAGAAAAGAU
RNAcentral lists this long non-coding RNA (743 nucleotides) under Vigna radiata. RNAcentral's name for it is "long non-coding RNA (VRAD_LNC014277)". Lineage: Eukaryota; Viridiplantae; Streptophyta; Magnoliopsida; Fabales; Fabaceae. The record is from RNAcentral.